GUACACGCUGUGACUAGCAUAUCAAUAAGCGGAGGAAAAGAAACUAACAAGGAUUCCCCUAGUAACGGCGAGUGAAGCGGGAAGAGCUCAAAUUUGAAAUCUUAAAGGGUUUCCCUUUACGAAUUGUAGUUUAAAGAAGUGUUUUCUGUUGAGGUUUUGGUAAAAGUUCUUUGGAAUAGGACAUCAUAGAGGGUGAGAAUCCCGUAUUUGACCUUUACUUUCAACUUAGUGAUACACUUUCAAAGAGUCGGAUUGUUUGGGAAUGCAGUCCUAAAAUGGGUGGUAAAUUUCAUCUAAAGCUAAAUAUUGGCGAGAGACCGAUAGCGAACAAGUACCGUGAGGGAAAGAUGAAAAGAACUUUGAAAAGAGAGUUAAACAGUACGUGAAAUUGUCAAAAGGGAAGCGUUUGACACCAGUGUUGUUUUUCUGAAAAUCAAUUAAAGAACUGUUUAUGCUAAGCUGUUUAGACUUUAUCAGCUAAUCUGUUUAGUUUUGAGCUUUUCUUUAAUGCACUUUUCAGUUAACAAGUCAACAUCAAUUUCUUUUGCUGUAAAAAAGCUUGAGGAAGGUGGCUUGAGAUUCGUCCUUAAGUGUUUAUAGCCUCUUGCCUAUGCAGUCGGAGAGAUUGAGGUCUGCAGCGUAGAUCCUUCGGGGCUAAAUGCAUUUGUGCUAAGUUAUAGCAUUUUAUAGACAACUUGUCGACUAUGAUUUGUCUUGUAGCUUACUCGCUUAUGUUAUUUUACCUACGCUUAGGAUGUUGAGUCGUAGAGCACGCAG
RNAcentral lists this ribosomal RNA (777 nucleotides) under uncultured Neocallimastigales. RNAcentral describes it as "partial large subunit ribosomal RNA". It matches the Rfam family "Eukaryotic large subunit ribosomal RNA", at positions 22 to 628 of the family's 3401-position model. Lineage: Eukaryota; Fungi; Neocallimastigomycota; Neocallimastigomycetes; Neocallimastigales. The record is from RNAcentral.